This 307-nucleotide unclassified non-coding RNA is filed under the name plant metagenome. Its description in RNAcentral is "partial contains 5.8S ribosomal RNA, internal transcribed spacer 2, and large subunit ribosomal RNA". The stretch from base 1 to 105 matches the Rfam family "5.8S ribosomal RNA", at positions 50 to 154 of the family's 154-position model. The record is from RNAcentral.
GAAAUGCGAUAAGUAGUGUGAAUUGCAGAAUUCAGUGAAUCAUCGAAUCUUUGAACGCACAUUGCGCCCCUCGGCAUUCCGUGGGGCAUGCCUGUUCGAGCGUCAUCUACACCCUCAAGCUCUGCUUGGUGUUGGGCGUCUGUCCCUCCUCCGCGCGCGGACUCGCCCCAAAUGCAUUGGCAGCGGUUCCUUGCCCCCCUCUUUGCGCAGCACAUUGCCAUUCGAGGCGGCGGCGGCCCGCGUCCAACAAGCUCAACCCCCCCGUCUUUGACCUCGGAUCAGGUAGGGAUACCCGCUGAACUUAAGC